GCUAGCUCAGUUGGUAGAGAAUGUGACUCUUAAUCUCAGGGUUGUGGGUUUGAGCCCCACAUUGCA
This 66-nucleotide transfer RNA is filed under the name Podarcis lilfordi (Lilford's wall lizard). RNAcentral describes it as "tRNA.Lys". The stretch from base 3 to 60 matches the Rfam family "tRNA", at positions 8 to 63 of the family's 71-position model. Rfam says of the family: Transfer RNA (tRNA) molecules are approximately 80 nucleotides in length. Lineage: Eukaryota; Metazoa; Chordata; Lepidosauria; Squamata; Lacertidae. The record is from RNAcentral.